This 172-nucleotide ribosomal RNA is filed under the name Endozoicomonas sp. OPT23. RNAcentral's name for it is "partial 16S ribosomal RNA". It matches the Rfam family "Bacterial small subunit ribosomal RNA", at positions 1 to 166 of the family's 1533-position model. Lineage: Bacteria; Pseudomonadati; Pseudomonadota; Gammaproteobacteria; Oceanospirillales; Endozoicomonadaceae. The record is from RNAcentral.
UUAAACUGAAGAGUUUGAUCAUGGCUCAGAUUGAACGCUGGCGGCAGGCCUAACACAUGCAAGUCGAGCGGUAGCAGAACUAGCUUGCUAGUUGCUGACAAGCGGCGGACGGGUGCGUAACACGUAGGAAUCUACCCAGUAGCGGGGGAUAGCCCGGAGAAAUCCGGAUUAA